Molecule: long non-coding RNA, 352 nt
Filed under: Medicago truncatula (barrel medic)
Lineage: Eukaryota; Viridiplantae; Streptophyta; Magnoliopsida; Fabales; Fabaceae
Description: long non-coding RNA (MTRU_LNC002960)
Source: RNAcentral
GCACAAAAAUACUAAAAAAUCAGGAUUUUGGGACCUGAACCCAUGUACACAAGAGUAUUACACCAAAGCCAAACUAAGGCAAAACAAACAUAAGCAUAUUAGAAUUCUAGCCUAUAACAGAAACUUUUAUAAGCUUCGGAUGUACUUCUACAAAUAUUUUAGAUUGCUUUUGAUCACACCCUUCUUGGAACGAAUUUGUAUAUGCUCACUACUAGUACUUUGAACCAUUGUAUCAUUUAGCUUAUUGGCAUGUUUCUUCUUAUUAGACUUCUUCUGCCUUUUCGACAUAAAAGGAGUAAAUAAACUCCCAUCCUCAAUAUCCCCUUCAAUCUCAGCAUUUAUGUCAGGCUCA